Molecule: long non-coding RNA, 356 nt
Filed under: Ananas comosus (pineapple)
Lineage: Eukaryota; Viridiplantae; Streptophyta; Magnoliopsida; Poales; Bromeliaceae
Description: long non-coding RNA (ACOM_LNC012915)
Source: RNAcentral
UUACUUCAUAGAUAAAAUAAAUAUGUACGUAAUGUCGGAUUGUUGGCGCUAACCACUAAUUCCAAAAGCUCGAGCCGUUAAAAAUACGCAACCAAUUCACUUAAAGCGUACAGAUACAUCGUCCACCGAGCUCAGUGGCUUGGCCCAAUGCGCUAACCAUUAAUUCCAAAAACUCGAGCUGCUAGAAAUAAUCAAUCAGUUCACUUAACACGUACAGACACAGCGCCAUGGGUCUUGAUUGCAGUUUAGCUCAACCAGCCUCACGUCACUUCGAACAUGACUCGAUCCGAUCUAACCUUCCGCCAUUUCGAAUGUGACUUAGCCUAACCUGAAUUCUGACCAUAGGGAAUAAUGCU